Molecule: ribosomal RNA, 342 nt
Filed under: Triticum aestivum (bread wheat)
Lineage: Eukaryota; Viridiplantae; Streptophyta; Magnoliopsida; Poales; Poaceae
Description: partial small subunit ribosomal RNA
Source: RNAcentral
AUGUUAACAUAUCUUGAAACAUUUUUAGGAGAAUCUGUAAAAGUUCUGUGGGAACAAUGGGUAGAGUCAUACCCUAGUCAAUAUGAAGAAUUAAAAAGGGCAGGAAGUAACCCUAAUAACUUUGCGAAUGUUAUCUCAAAUAUGAUCAUAGCAGAAGAUCCAGAAUUAGGACAUACCUCAUUCAAAAAUGAGAGGUUAAGAGAAAUAGAAAAAUUAACAUUAACUAGCUGGAAAGGUAUAAAAGAAUUCUCCCAGCAUUAUUUGUAUAAUGCUACUACUGCUAAACAAGGUUUUAAUGUAGGUGUAGUGAAAGAUAUUUUAAUAAGUUGCCCGAUCCUCUAG